UACGUAGGGGCCGAGCGUUGUCCGGAAUUACUGGGCGUGAAGCGCGCGCAGGCGGCUGUCCGCGCCCGGCGUGAAAGCCCCCGGCUCAACCGGGGAGAGUCGUCGGGGACGGGACAGCUCGAGGGCGGGAGGGGUUGGUGGAAUUCCCGGUGUAGUGGUGAAAUGCGUAGAGAUCGGGAGGAACACCUGUGGCGAAGGCGGCCAACUGGCCCGACCCUGACGCUGAGGCGCGAAGGCGUGGGGAGCGAACGGG
RNAcentral lists this unclassified non-coding RNA (253 nucleotides) under uncultured Thermomicrobiales bacterium. RNAcentral's name for it is "contains 16S-23S intergenic spacer region". It matches the Rfam family "Bacterial small subunit ribosomal RNA", at positions 524 to 776 of the family's 1533-position model. Lineage: Bacteria; Pseudomonadati; Thermomicrobiota; Thermomicrobia; Thermomicrobiales. The record is from RNAcentral.